Chaetomium globosum CBS 148.51 is the source of this 87-nucleotide transfer RNA. It matches the Rfam family "tRNA". From Rfam's summary of the family: Transfer RNA (tRNA) molecules are approximately 80 nucleotides in length. The record is from Rfam. NCBI's taxonomy places the organism in Eukaryota, Fungi, Ascomycota, Sordariomycetes, Sordariales, Chaetomiaceae.
GGGCCUGUGGUGCAGUGGUUAGCAUACUUGCUUUGGGAUAACAUUCCUCUCUGCAAGUGGUCCCAGGUUCGAACCCUGGCUGGCCCC